RNAcentral lists this ribosomal RNA (505 nucleotides) under uncultured bacterium. RNAcentral describes it as "partial 16S ribosomal RNA". It matches the Rfam family "Bacterial small subunit ribosomal RNA", at positions 28 to 507 of the family's 1533-position model. The record is from RNAcentral.
GACGAACGCUGGCGGCGUGCCUAAUACAUGCAAGUAGAACGCACAGUUUAUACCGUAGCUUGCUACACCAUAGACUGUGAGUUGCGAACGGGUGAGUAACGCGUAGGUAACCUGCCUGGUAGCGGGGGAUAACUAUUGGAAACGAUAGCUAAUACCGCAUAAUAUUAAUUAUUGCAUGAUAAUUAAUUGAAAGGUGCAAUUGCACCACUACCAGAUGGACCUGCGUUGUAUUAGCUAGUAGGUGAGGUAACGGCUCACCUAGGCGACGAUACAUAGCCGACCUGAGAGGGUGAUCGGCCACACUGGGACUGAGACACGGCCCAGACUCCUACGGGAGGCAGCAGUAGGGAAUCUUCGGCAAUGGACGAAAGUCUGACCGAGCAACGCCGCGUGAGUGAAGAAGGUUUUCGGAUCGUAAAGCUCUGUUGUAAGAGAAGAACGGGUGUGAGAGUGGAAAGUUCACACUGUGACGGUAUCUUACCAGAAAGGGACGGCUAAUUACGUG